CCCCGAUUCAGAUCCAUUCCCGCAGCUGCCGUCGCCCCCACCAUAGCUCGCCGCUGGGCCUCCCCCGACCCUCCCUGCCUCCCAACCCCCUCGCCGCUGCCUCCUCCUUCCUCAAGCACCACCUCUCCAACCUCCCCUCUCGCUUUGCCGCCCCGUGCCCCGCGCUCGACGCGUCGCGCCUGCCGAGGCCCCAUAGCACCGCCCAGUCUCUCAUGCUCGGGCUCGAUGAGGUCGCGCGCACGCUCACUGGCACACCCGUCUUCACCAUUUGCAACUCCAGCAACUAGUUCGUGCUCGUCUCCGCUCCCUCGGCCUCCUCUGCUUCCUCUCCAAGGACGCCGACGCCCUCCUCUCCGUCGAAGGUCGCCGGAACCAUGACGGUCGGCGCGCCCAUGCGUGAGGAGACAACGACGACCCCGACAAGCCCUCCAAGGCCAGCAAGAAGGCGGCCGCCAAGGACGACCAGCCGCCCCAGCGCCAGCAGCAGUAGUACCUCCAAGAUGGCGCAGCAGCCACACUCCCAACUGCUCAAUGGUGGCGGUCGAUCUCGGCCAUUCAGUUAUCAGCCACCGUGGAACAAACACUGCGAUCCUACUUUGAGUGAUGCAUCAGUGUUUGAUGCGCAAAGAAUAAUUGGGCUAGAUCUGCGGGUUCAUCUUUGUGCUUUUUAUUACAUAGCAGCGCUGCAACUCGUUAGUCGAUUCAGAGUUUCCAUUUACAUCAUCUGGGAUAUACUUGAUGUGAUUACAAGUCCUACCAAGUAGUGAAUAGUAUAACAUUUUAAUUUGGAAUCCCACCUAACAGUAUUCUAGGUGUCUGCCAGUCAACUCAUCAUAUCAUAUGAGCCCAGAAACACCGACCAGAUCACACUUGUACUAAUUUUCUUAGUAUUUAAUCAAAUCAGGAAGAACUGAUCUUAUUGGCUAUAAGUGUGCUUUCUAGUACUUAUUAGCUGUGUUGCAACUUGUGAGCAAGUUGUGGGGUUUCUGUACAUACUUUGUGGUGCUAUGUGUCAUGCAAUUCUUGGUUCUAAUAAGUAUUGGCUACUUCAUGUUCACGUUAUAAUCCUAUAAGAUUGGGCUGUAGUUGCGAAUGCAUCUCUGUGGCAAUUAAUGGAUUCUGUCUAAGGCUUUUGCUCUUUGGUUUCACCCUACCAGUGCAUCACUUAGCAUAGUCUGCAUGUUAAGAUGCUCAAAGCGAAGGGCGCGAUAAGUGUUUCCUUUGCAUAUGAUUGGUUACUGAUGAUGAUAGUGCCUAUGGAAUAAGUAGGUGGCAUCCUCAAGGGCCAUUCAAACCAUUGCAUUUGAUGAAUCCGAUAAGACUAUCUUUUAUUCACUCCAUACUCUAUAGACAUUUCAGGUACACUUAACGUAUCUUGCAUAUGGUUGCUUUUUUUCCAGGUUCGUGAAGAGAGCUAAUCUGGUUUUGUGAAGGAAGGGAGAGAAAGAUUAUGUGGGGAUCAGAUUGUCCAUGGCGACCUAGGAGGAGCAACACCAUCUCAGGUUGCUCCGAUCUGGUUGUGUGAAGGAACAUGCAAGGUCUGCUACUGCUGUUGUGCUCCCUUGAAUGAUCUGGUGAAGGACAAUUUGGUCCAUAGGUAUAUGCGAGUCCGGCAGUGCGGUGGCAGUCCCCGUGGAACGAGCGCUGGACUACUCCCUUGGCCAGGCGUACCUCUGCAAGCACGAAUGGAGCGAAGACUCACUGUUGGUGUUGCCCGCCAAGUUCUCCAGCCCUUGGUGAACCGAGGCUAUCUCAAGUGCUUCGUUGCGUUCUUUGCUGCUGGUCUCAUGAACGGGGAAGUUAUUUUUCUUGAAGGAAGGGCAAGGAGGAGGCAACACGUUGGAAGCUAGAGGACCCAGGGAUGGAUAAUAUGUGUUGGUCUUGCCAUCUACCUGGCCCUUUUGUUGGUAAAUCCAUUGCGCAAUGGGUGACCGUGGAAGGGAUGGAAGUUCAUAUUGCUGUUUGUAAUGAAGGUCACAGCCUAAUCCUGACUAUGGUUGUCUAGUGAGUAUGGCAUAUGGUUCAUAUGACAGGAGCAUGUUCCCAGUUUGUGAUCGCUAUUGACAGGAGCUCCAUUCUGAAGAAGAUUGAAGACAAUUGUGGAGUUCUAAAUUACUGUAGCCAGCUAUCACACUUGUAGAGCUUGUAAUAUUGUGAUUCCAAUUGUAUUACGUGUUAUUGGUAGAGCAAGAGCUCCAUACUGAUUCUAGCUAUU
Triticum aestivum (bread wheat) is the source of this 2215-nucleotide long non-coding RNA. RefSeq lists it as uncharacterized. The transcript is spliced from 6 exons. The record is from RefSeq and is a predicted model, not a curated record. NCBI's taxonomy places the organism in Eukaryota, Viridiplantae, Streptophyta, Magnoliopsida, Poales, Poaceae.